This is a long non-coding RNA of Magallana angulata, 406 nucleotides long. RefSeq lists it as uncharacterized. Lineage: Eukaryota; Metazoa; Mollusca; Bivalvia; Ostreida; Ostreidae. The transcript has 2 exons. The record is from RefSeq and is a predicted model, not a curated record.
UUUACUUUGGUAGGGGUUUGAACUUGGAAAUGUUAAGAACUUCGACAAAUUUUAUACAUCUGAUGCAUUCUUUCUUUAGAGUUGCCAUUUAGGGAGUUUGUUUUCACUAAAAUUAAACAUCCCUCCCCCAGUGACCGCGCUGUUGAAACAGCAGUUUCCGAAAAUUAGUGAUUGCGAUUCACGCGCUAUAGAAAAACACGUGAUCCAGGAAAAGGUUUACGCAUGCUCACGGAAUGCCAUGCGGAAGACGCGGGGAAUGUUGCCAUUGUUGUUGGACGAAAUGGUUCGCGGUCAAAAUGAUCUAAAGACACUAUUUUGUCACUAUGACACUGAACAAUGUGCAGAAAAGUACAAGACAAAUAAUUAAAGGAAAACUAAAACUGAACGAUGACCCAAAUCCCCCCCA